GGUGUAAUGGUGAGCACUCUGGACUCUGAAUCCAGCGAUCCGAGUUCGAAUCUCUG
This 56-nucleotide transfer RNA is filed under the name Rattus norvegicus (Norway rat). It matches the Rfam family "tRNA", at positions 9 to 63 of the family's 71-position model. From Rfam's summary of the family: Transfer RNA (tRNA) molecules are approximately 80 nucleotides in length. Their secondary structure includes four short double-helical elements and three loops (D, anti-codon, and T loops). Further hydrogen bonds mediate the characteristic L-shaped molecular structure. tRNAs have two regions of fundamental functional importance: the anti-codon, which is responsible for specific mRNA codon recognition, and the 3' end, to which the tRNAs corresponding amino acid is attached (by aminoacyl-tRNA synthetases). tRNAs cope with the degeneracy of the genetic code in two manners: having more than one tRNA (with a specific anti-codon) for a particular amino acid; and 'wobble' base-pairing, i.e. permitting non-standard base-pairing at the 3rd anti-codon position. The record is from Rfam by way of RNAcentral. Lineage: Eukaryota; Metazoa; Chordata; Mammalia; Rodentia; Muridae.